UGACUAAUAGGCACAUAUCUGGACACUUGCUUUAUUUAAAAUUUUAUUAUUUAAAAACUUUAAAUUUUGUUGUUCGAUGAGAUUUUCAUUUUCACGAUUCCGAAAUUAACGCUCGGGCUCGGAGUUUUGUGUUCCGUAUCCAGUCACAUUGAGCGGAAAAUGGCGAAUUUAUCUUACGGGAAGCGCAUGAAAUCUCAAGUUUAUAGCUAGCACAGCAAGCGUUUAUGGUAACGCGAGAAAAUUCGGGAUGAGGUCAGUACUAUGACACAAAAGUUGAACAUAGUCUUAUAUAGGAAAAGAUCUCAGAUGUAUCUGACUGUAGAUAAACACUAUUGUUUACUUUUUUAUUAUAAUAUUUUCCAAAUCAUUAGUUGAUUAAAUGAAAAUUGAUAUUGAUUAAAUUCGUUAUUCAUUAUUGAGGUUCUAACUCUGCACCCAAAAUAAUCAUACAUAUGUAUAAUACUUGAGUUACAUGUAUACUUAGUUAUACUUAUUGCAUAUUUAGUGUAUUAUUUUACAUACAUACAUGUUAAUCCUACACAAUAUGUAUAGAAAUGUUCGCCGAAGUGUAC
Molecule: RNA transcript, 572 nt
Organism: Ostrea edulis (European flat oyster)
Lineage: Eukaryota; Metazoa; Mollusca; Bivalvia; Ostreida; Ostreidae
Exons: 2
Source: RefSeq, a predicted model, not a curated record